RNAcentral lists this ribosomal RNA (188 nucleotides) under uncultured bacterium. Its description in RNAcentral is "partial 16S ribosomal RNA". It matches the Rfam family "Bacterial small subunit ribosomal RNA", at positions 327 to 507 of the family's 1533-position model. The record is from RNAcentral.
GGUCGACGAUUCCUACGGGAGGCAGCAGUGGGGAAUAUUGCACAAUGGGCGCAAGCCUGAUGCAGCCAUGCCGCGUGUAUGAAGAAGGCCUUCGGGUUGUAAAGUACUUUCAGUAGGGAGGAAGGUUCAUGCGUUAAUAGCGUAUGGAUUUGACGUUACCUACAGAAGAAGCACCGGCUAACUCCGUG